Molecule: long non-coding RNA, 1244 nt
Organism: Helianthus annuus (common sunflower)
Lineage: Eukaryota; Viridiplantae; Streptophyta; Magnoliopsida; Asterales; Asteraceae
Exons: 2
Source: RefSeq, a predicted model, not a curated record
AAUAGUUAAUAACGAAAAUAACAAUAAAGAAACAAAUAAAAAAAACCCUUAUUUCCCCCUUUAACCCUAACAUCACCCACCGUACUGUACAUCAUCGCCAUCCAUCAGCAACCUUCAUCCUUUCUCAACCGGCUAUCGUCUUCCACCACCGCCUCCGUCACCCCGUCGCACCCUCACCACUCCGAAUUACCACCGCCGCAUCGCCUCCACCAACAACCGCCGGUCUCGUCAGCGUCAAACACCCCGCCACCGGUUCCAACCAACAACAACGCCAUCUCCGUCGCUGCCUUCCACCACACCAUCAUUCACUGCAGCAUCAGGUAAGUUUUUGUCCUUUUCUCUUUACAACCAUGUCUACCGGUUGAAACCACUACCACUUAUCGACUAUCUGGUGACAACACACCCGAACCAACCCACAUCCUCACCGUUCCGGCUAACCCCGAUACCGAUUUAAGUCGGACCCCUGUUACCAGACCCGAACAGUUCCAAUUCCAUAACUUUUGUCUUCGUUGGUCAUGAAUAAAUUAUAAUUUCAUCAUGAAAUUGAAAUUGGUUUGAUAUCACUGAUCAUACAAAUUGCAUUAAUUGGAAUGGGUUGAUGCGGUCAUAAAUUGCUUUUGUUCUAAUUGAUGGUAUAUAUCUUGAGUUUAUUGAAUCAGGGUUGUGCAUAUCACGACCACUUUGAGGUAUGUUACUUGAUUUGUGAGAACACCAGGUAUGUUGCUUCAUAAUCGUGUUACGGAUUAAUCAAUUAAUGGAGCCAUAUAUAGUCAUUUGUGGUGAGCUUGCCGAUCAGCAGGCAAUGCUUCGUCUCAUGUAUGCUCGUCAGCGUGAGAUGGGUCGCACCAUCGUCUCUCUCCGUGAUCACAGAGAUCGACUUAGAUGUCCGCCACCUUCGUAGAUGCCUUCCACAUAUUCCUCCGAGCCUCGAGGACGAUGCUAUAUCUUAAGCUUGGGGAGGUUAAGGUUAGAGAUGCAGAGUGAUCGCGAGUGACAAAGAUGGAUCUUUAAAAGGGUAGGAAUCGCGAAUGAUAAAAGAGAUUAGGACAUGUGAAUGUUCAAGUUAUAUGAUAAAAAAAUGAUUGUUGGUGGCUUGAAAGGAUGGAAUGGAAACAGUUGAUGAUGAUGUAAAAAUUAGAUGGAGUUUUCUUCAUCAUACGUGUGACAACCCUCAAAAUUCCAUGUAUUCCGUACAAUUUGUUAUUAAUAAUGAAAGUGCUUGACGACUGUGUGGAAUUACUUAA